Molecule: ribosomal RNA, 437 nt
Filed under: uncultured bacterium
Lineage: Bacteria
Description: SSU rRNA
Rfam family: Bacterial small subunit ribosomal RNA
Source: RNAcentral
AGAAUGAACGCUAGCGAUAUGCUUAACACAUGCAAGUUGAACGUUGUUUUCGAAUCAGAAUGAGAACAAAGUAGCGAACGGGUGCGUAACACGUGGGAAUCUGCCGAACAGUUUGGGCCAAAUCCCGAAUGAAUAAAAGCUAAAAAGCGCUGUUUGAUGAGCCCACGUAGUAUUAGGUAGUUGGUUAGGUAAAAGCUGACCAAGCCUACGAUGCUUAGCUGGUCUUUUCGGAUGAUCAGCCACACUGGGACUGAGACACGGCCCAGACUCCUACGGGAGGCAGCAGUGGGGAAUCUUGGACAAUGGGCGAAAGCCUGAUCCGGCAAUAUGGCGUGAGUGAAGAAGGGCAACGCAGCUUGUAAAGCUCUUUCAUCGAGUGUGCGAUUGUGACAAGACUCGAAUAAGAACGCCCCGGCUAACUCCGCGCCAGCAGCCGC